CGCCCGCUGGAAACCUGUGUCCAGAGCAGGAGAGCAACCGGAAGUGAGGCCUGCUGGCUGAGAGAGACCACUGUGAGCAGGGCCCCGAAACUCACCGGCUCGUUCUGGGGCGCUUUCUUCCCGACUGUUCGCACGCUGAAGGCCUUGUGCUCACCUCGCCUAUUUGUGUGUCUUCUCAGCACAUGGAGACCCAGAAGAAUCAGUGUAAAAUAGAUUUGGACAGCAAAUUGCCUUUCUGCAGUUGUGUUAUGGCUACCAUUGCAAUUAAGAAAUGGAAAAUGAACUUCUGAGAUCCAAUGCAGUCGGCUUUCAUCAGCCUCAGAACCAUGUAUGGAAAGAAAACAAAAUACAGAUGUAAGAGGAUGGCAAAAAGAGAAAACCCAGCAAAAGCACUCAGAAGUGGUGCAAGAACCCUGGGUGAAAACCAACUUUGGGAAAAUAGCAGCGGAAGACAUCUGCCAUCCGUGAACAGGCAGUGGUUUAGUUGGCUUCAUACCUGUGUUCCCUCAUUUAUUUUGAGUAAAGAAAAAAAUCAGUAUUUCUCUUUUGUGAAAUGUUUGGGAAUUAGAAAAAAAUGUUUGUUGAAGUAUAAGAAGAAAAAUGCUGGGGCCGGGGGUUUAGCUCAGUGGUUUCGCCGCCUGCUCCACAAGCGCAAGGACGCAAGUUCAAUCCCCGGUACCAAAAAAACCAAAAAACCAAAAAAAAGAAAAGUGCUUCAGGAAUUGUGCCAGGCAUUCUUAAU
Molecule: long non-coding RNA, 742 nt
Filed under: Heterocephalus glaber (naked mole-rat)
Lineage: Eukaryota; Metazoa; Chordata; Mammalia; Rodentia; Bathyergidae
Description: lncRNA (ENSHGLG00100040070.1)
Source: RNAcentral